RNAcentral lists this long non-coding RNA (339 nucleotides) under Manihot esculenta (cassava). RNAcentral describes it as "long non-coding RNA (MESC_LNC001827)". Lineage: Eukaryota; Viridiplantae; Streptophyta; Magnoliopsida; Malpighiales; Euphorbiaceae. The record is from RNAcentral.
UUGAACACCACAUUCAAAGCCCACCAUGUCGCAAAGUAAAUCCCAAUCUUGACCCUCCUCGCAGCCUCUGAUUUCGCCCCUUCAGCCUCUAUUGGCUGCGAUCGGUCGGCCUCGUAGGCCUUGCAUGCGAUCAAGGAUUCCUUUUGAGGUUUUGAAACUGCAAAAGCCUCAAUUGAGGAGACAUGUAGAGGUUUUGACAGACAUAGAACAGCUUUUGGGUUCUCCCGGGUUGGAAGUGACGGCAGAAACAAAGAUCUCUGCAUCGUUAAUGGAUUUUUUCUGCGAAAAAUUGUGUCAGAUCCAUUGAUGGUGGGUGCUAUAGCAGAUUGCUUAACUGUG